UUUGUGGUUAAAUAAGUUUAGAAAUGCUGCCCCCUUUGAAAGAUUUACGAGGCACAUGGAAAUGUUAAAGGCCCUAAAGUUCUGCAGCAAAAAAUCAUGUUUAUCUCAACUUGUUCUAAACUUAUGAAACUCCUAUUAAUUAAUUAAUACCUAUUAACAGCUCAUUAAAGUAAUCAGCCUGUUAAGACAAAAGCCUGGUCAAGACCUGGCGAUUAAUACCCCAUCCCUGCAUCAGGUGACACGUGCGCCACCUGCUGGUGAUAUGGGGUAUGAGGGCACUUACUCGGGAAGCUUCUAUUUUCACAAAAUUGCACUCGGAAUCCAGAGUUCAUUGUCACAGUGCACUUGAUUAUGUCUUUUCACGUUUAACAAACCAGGGGCUGAACAACAUAGCUAGCCAUAAUUUAGUUACAAAAGGAAGUUUUUCAUGCGGACCAUCCACAUGGAAGUCAAACGAUACAAAUCAGUGCUGAAUACCAGUGUCCAAGAAAAGUGAAGCGUCUGAUACAAUGGGAACAAAGAAUUCUAGGGUUUUAUAGACUAAAUAUUUGCGAUAAUAAACUCAAUUAGUCUGUUCUAUUUAUCCCCUAAUUUCAAGUCCAACCGAUUUUUAGCAGACUUAUCCAAUGUCUAAUAGACUGAUGAACCAAGCUACAAUCCUAUCAAAACUGAUAUUAGACCUUUUCACUUAAAUUGUUAAGUUUCACUACUCUUGGUUCUCAAGGUUUUAAUUGCUAAAAUGAUAUCAUAAUUGAUUGGGGGAGAAGAAAGGAAAUAAAUAAAAAUAAAGGACAAGAAUGUGAUCAUAAGGUACAUUUAUACCGUAAUUAUUUGAAGAGUUUAUAUUAUCAUACAUUUGUUUAUAGACAACCACACAGUCUAAGGAGAAAAAUUUUUAAUGUUUUCUACAAAUAAUGUUUCACAAUCUGUUCUAUUUAUCUUCCUGCCUCAAAACAAUAUUUAACUGCAGAGUUGUUGUUGUUUUUUUUUUUACCAGAACAUCACAUAAGUUUAUUUCAGAUGCAAUAGCAAUUUUAAAAUCAACAAGUUUAAAUCUUAACUUCACCAAGUAAACUUAGCUAGUUAAGUAUUUUUAAAGUUAUUCCCUCCAAAAAACUGAGGGAGCUUUUCUUUUCCACCUCACAUCCCACGGUUUCCCAAUAGUUCUAUUUUUGGAGGACUUUCAAUUGAUGAGUAAAUGCUAGCAGAGGCUUUUAAACCACACUUUUUACUAGACUGGCUAAAGGUUUAAGCAUCAAAGCAGUUGCUACACAACACUGGGUGCAUUGAAAAGCAUUGGGCAGCCUGGUUUCCAUUUUCCUUCUUCACUCUUAUCUCCGUCUUCUUCAUCUUUCAUCUGGGUUUCUCCAAGAAACCUCCAACUCUCCGAGAAAAAGCAGCAUGCUCUGCAGCCAUGUGCCUAAUCCUUCUACAGCAAAGAUGCUUAUGUUCCAAGUUUCAAAUUUUUAAAGAAAGAUACUCCUACUUUGACAUACUAACAAGUAUCUGCAAGUAAUUUUACUCUCAAAGAAGCAUACCCUGCAGCAUGUCAGCCUCACUUUAGAAGAUUGUUGAAAUUCAGCUCUUGGAGCAGACUUCCCAGCAUUUAAAAUCAAUGGCCACACCCUCAUGUAACUGUAGAAAUCCUGGAUUGGCCAAAAGUUUGUUUGGAUUAUUCCAUAAACUGGUAAGGAAAACCUGAAUGACCUUUUUGGCCAACCCAAUACGAUGAUUCCGGGGCUUUAUUCCUAUAGUCUGUGCAGGGCAGGCAAGCCUCUGAAUGUUUAAAGCGCCCAAUGGGUGCUGAUCCAGCCACCUAUGGAGACUCUUUCUUUAAGGUUGAUGAUGGAUCCACUCCCGAAGGGCCGAUCAAGAUAAGGCAGGACCUCUGUUUCUAUAAAGCAUCCCACAGGUCAUGUGAAUGAGCACAGAAGGCUGAGAAGUUCUGCUCCAAGAAGUGCUAAGAGCAAGGACAACGGUGGAAAGAUCUAUUUCAAUCUGCCAGUGAAUUGUUAGUGCAGAGAAGGAGAGGCAGGUGUGCUAACCAGCUUUAGAGUAAUUAUUAGUGAAGGAUGCAGGGAAUCAGGUGAACAGAAGAUAGGGUGCUGUGACUUCUCAAUCUAAAAAAGAUUCACAGUGGCAUUUCAAUGACCUUAAUUCUUAACCCCAGCUGCUCUCUAGAAGCUUCCGGGAGUAAGCUUUUAAAAAUUACCUUCGCUGUUCACCUGAAGCCACCACAACAUUGUUAAUCUGCUAUACCCUGAUACAAAAUACAAAGUUUAAAAUAUAAAAUAAAAAUAAGCCAAGCCAAGGCCCUACUCCAGACCAGUUAAAUCAGAAUCUAUGGCUGGGGGUGGACUCUUAUUUUACCAGCCCCUGGGGUGACUCCAGAGGGCCACCGGCUUCAGUACCAUUGCUCUAUGACACGCGAGAGGCCGUUCGCGACACCUGCUAUUGUUGACAUCACAAACAGGACACAUUUGUCUCCAGACCCGUGAAGGUCAGCCUUUAGAAGAAAUGAAUGCUUGGCACUAUCCCCUCGCUCCACGUAUUAAACCAUCAUGAGUAGGACUCACUUAUUUCUAAAAGCAGUGGCCACCUGCUUUCUUCCCAGGAUUUGUAGCUGUGUAUCACUUAGAGCAAAAGCCAGAAAGUUCUAAAUUUGCUAGUUAAAAUUGGAGGGAGGUGGGAAGUAGCACUUGUGGAAUCGUGCGACCUGUUGCUUGGCAACCUUGAGUUCAGCUUCUGCAUUCUGUGAGCCGUCAGAGUCACCAAGUUUGCUGAGCCGGGUUGAUUACUUCCCACUACAAAAAGGAAAUUAAUUCUGCAUGACGGAGAGGGCUCAAAAAGCUGUCCUUCAAAGCCGGCCAUGUCACACUUCUUCUACUUGACACCACAAAUUGUUCUGCCCUUCAGCCCUCUCACUUCUCAAGAGUUUGAUGUGAUCAGACGGAAGGCGGCAGCAUCUUGGCAGGAUGAAGCAAGGUGGUCAGAUUUGUCUGUGACAACGUACAUGGGCAGUUACAGGGAAAAGCAGCUGGACGAGUCCACGGGCGGCCGACUUAGAGCAGGACAGCCCUGGCCUGAGCGUCACAAGAUGGCAUUGCCAAACUGCUUUGCUGGCAGGGCUGAGCUCCAAGAGACCACAGAUGCUAAAGGACUGUUACCGCAUAUAAGCAGUUCCUUUAAAAAUUCAUCUAUUGUCAAGCAUGGAGUGGCACACCAAAUUCUGUCUGGGGAUUUUCCUCCAGCACAUCCUCCUCCAGGUUAUGAAAGACCAUAUGCGAGAAUUAAAAAGCCAGCACAGAAGAGCCUGAUGAAGUACAGUCUUCUAUGGAGAGAGCUCCUGAAACCUUUUCGUGAACCAAGUGAUUCUAUAAGCAAGACUAGUUCAUCUGGAGGCUCAGAAGCUGAUCAAGUCGUUUAUAUUCGGAAAGGACCAUUCUCGUCAUUCGUUUAGCUGAGUUGGAAAGCGAAGCCACAAAGUUGGCGGCUCCGAGCCUGCUUUAUUAACGACUUGGAGCUCCUACUAACAUGAGCAGGAUUUACAUUUUCCUGUUUUAAAGAUCCAGCUGGCAAGAAUUAUGAAUGGGAGAACAGCUAACUCAUAAAGAAGAGGCUCUGAUGGAUAACCUCAGACCAUUCAGACCUUGGACAGGAGAAGAAUGGGCCCCUUGGUCCAUAGAGCCACACUUUAUUUACCCCAGGGCCAGCGU
This is an RNA transcript of Bubalus bubalis (water buffalo), 3716 nucleotides long. It is a transcript of the gene named chromosome 17 C4orf51 homolog, with no coding region annotated. The record is from RefSeq and is a predicted model, not a curated record. NCBI's taxonomy places the organism in Eukaryota, Metazoa, Chordata, Mammalia, Artiodactyla, Bovidae. The transcript is spliced from 7 exons.